This 253-nucleotide ribosomal RNA is filed under the name uncultured bacterium. RNAcentral describes it as "partial 16S ribosomal RNA". It matches the Rfam family "Bacterial small subunit ribosomal RNA", at positions 524 to 776 of the family's 1533-position model. The record is from RNAcentral.
UACGUAGGGUCCGAGCGUUGUCCGGAAUUACUGGGCGUAAAGAGCUCGUAGGUGGUUUGUCGCGUUGUUCGUGAAAACUCACAGCUCAACUGUGGGCGUGCGGGCGAUACGGGCAGACUUGAGUACUGCAGGGGAGACUGGAAUUCCUGGUGUAGCGGUGGAAUGCGCAGAUAUCAGGAGGAACACCGGUUGCGAAGGCGGGUCUCUGGGCAGUAACUGACGCUGAGGAGCGAAAGCGUGGGGAGCGAACAGG